GCAGUGAUUAACAGCAGUCACGAGCAGAUACACAUUGCUCAAACUAAAGACAUAACAUCUAGAUAUAACAACAUCUGUUUACGACUAAAAGGGAGUGUAAACCGGAAACGGGAAUAAAGAAGAGAUUAGGGGGUUGCUUGUAGGUCAAGGGACUUGGCUCCAGCACGUCGCCUUCGGGACACCUGUGCCCCUGUGAGAACCAGCAUUCCGGGACUCGGGGUCAGCGCUUCGGCCUUCCGUCCUCUCGUGCCCCAACAAUCCCCUUUCAACUAUUUUUUCUAGAUUCAUCUUUAAAAUAAGAGAGACAGCAAGAGAAGAACAACUGAAGGGAGAGGGGAGAAGGGAGGUGACUUAGAAGGGAGGAAAGAAGGAAAAAGUGAAAGGAAGAAAAGAAAGGAAGGAAGCAACGUCCUUGCAUUUUAAAUGCUAAGGGCAGUGAGUAUAAGAGGAAGCUCCUGACAAAAGAGGAGGACGAGAGAAGUGACAAGUACAGCCUGCCAGACAGGAAAGGACACCUAAGCACACGUGCUGUCACUUGUGUAUGGAACACGCUGCUGUCGUGUGUGAAGACUGCCUUAGGGGUGGUGAUUGAAGCAAAGGCUACCUCUGUGCAGAGUUUUGUUUGUGUUUUCAUUGUAGUUCACACUGAAAUUUAUUUCUGCUGCUAUUUUUUUUUAGAUAAUGUAGGCAAGUAGUUGGUGAAAAUAUUGAUGUUUAUUCUAGACACUCUUUAUAUGCUAACAAUUUAAUAUUUUAUUUUAUUGACAUUUUAUUUUCCUGGUUAGUAUAAAUUGUUUAAUAUAAGACUCAUAAUAGUAAAAUUUGCCAUCAAUAGAAAUAUUCCUAAAAAACAAACGUGGUAUCACAUACCCACUAUAAUGUGACUUUCCAAAAUUUUACUAUGAAGCCCCUAUUAAACAUCGGCAUCUAUAAAAUUAAGCAUCAUACACACAACAGAAAAGAUAUUUUAAACAUUUAUAGUCAUUGAAAACUACUCUACAUUGUUAUUAUGCCACCU
RNAcentral lists this long non-coding RNA (1018 nucleotides) under Fukomys damarensis (Damara mole-rat). Its description in RNAcentral is "lncRNA (ENSFDAG00000024346.1)". Lineage: Eukaryota; Metazoa; Chordata; Mammalia; Rodentia; Bathyergidae. The record is from RNAcentral.